CCUGCAGAUUUCUGACUGCCCGGCUGGUACUCUGGAGAUACCUUGACAAGCAUGUGGUCCCCAGACUCACAGCAAAAGGCACAUGAAGUUCUUUAGGAGCUGACCUUUGGAAUAGGUCUGGUUAUGUGGAAACCCAUAGCUUGCUGCCAUUAGCCCUUUAAAGGAGAACGGAGCAGGAGCCUCCACAGAGUUCAGAGGGUUCAGACGCUACAGCUCAGUGUGUGGAAAGGGUAACGAUGCUCUUCCUUUCCUUUCCUCAUCCCCAGUGAGGUCUGCACUGAUGGUACUCACAGAAUAACUACAGCAUUCAUAGAUAUUUGAAUUGAAACUGAAGUAAUUAUGGGGAAAGGGAGACUAAUUCUCAAACAGUAUCACAUCUCUGUCAAGAACGGAGACUCCUGGAAAAUAAUUGGACUGUAUUAAAAUAUUCUCAUUUUAUUUAUGUAGUCAACAUAAAGGAAGCUUGAGUGGGUUUUUUCUUGACUGAGCUGCAACUGUAAGCACAGUGUAAGUGCAUUUUCUAGUUUUAGAUAACUUUUUAUUUGGGUGAAAAAGUUAUCUUGGUGCUACCAGAAGAAUAAGAUGAACCAAGUCACUGAAUGUGAAUUCCAUUGCCUUACCCUUUUGCACAUGCAGUGAACUUAAGCAAGUUACAGGUCUGACUUUUUAGAAGUUCAUCGUAGGUUUUUCCUUGUAUUUAAAAAAAUAUGUUAAAAUACGAUCAUUACAUUCGGAAUGUGAUGCUCCAUUUCUAGAAGCAGCUGAGCCUUCUGUCCCAGAAUUUAAGGAUUGAGAUUGGUAGAAAAGGUGGGUAGGAUAAUCUUAAACCUUAAAAAAAUAGUUACGGGACACUAGUCACUGUUCCUAGAAUUGGAAGUUAAUAAUCUGCUAUAAUAAGUAAUAAAAAUUAGAAUCUGAUUAAGAACAGGAAGAAGGGAAGAAUAUGGAGGGCAAAGGUUAAUGAGGCUUUCUAAGGGAGAGCUUAGUAUGUCCCUCAAUUACCAGUGACAAAAAGUAACAAUGACUUCUUUAAUACAUGAAAGCACAUGUCAAAAGGAAAAAGCAGUAAUCAAAUACAUUUACAAAACAAAGGGCUACAUUCCAGUCUGGAAGCAAUGCAAGUUGGCAGACCAUGACUAAAAAAUUCCUUUGGGGAUAUUGGAUCCACUUUUGGAAAGGAAAGACCAUAGCUUGCUCUAUAGCAAAUAUGAGCUCCGUCUCUUAGACAGGCGUUAAUGAAGAUGUUGCCUGCUUUCCUUACUGAAAGGAUUUGACUUUCAACUUGCAUGGUAAACUGGUUUACUCUGAACAUUUAAGCUAUAUGAAAUAAUGUCACCUGAAAAUGCCUUUUUUUUUUUUUUUUUUUUUUUUUUUUUUUUUUUAACCUUUAUCCAACUGUUUAAGGAAAUUUUGAGUUAAUAGGGUUCUGUAAAGUUACUCCAGGUACCUGGAGAAAUGGAGGUACUACUGAAAAUUAAAAAGCACAUAAUCAAAUGAGGACCGGUGGAAGGUAGCAGAAGUAUUCUACUCUUGUUCCUUUAAACACAAGGUAUGAAGGUAUCUUUACACAGGGGAGGUCAUUGGAUUCUUUUGCUGUGGUGGCUUUUUGUUGUUUUUGUUUUUUUAAGAAAGCCUUCUCUUAUUUCAGUACCUAAGCUGAUCUUCUAAAUACCGCAGGAGGUUCACCCCUGAGUCUUCCUUUCCUCCACUCCUCCAUUAGAGUGAUCAACAGUAUUUGAUGGUGACAAAAAACUUCCCAUAUUGAACGAUCAGCGUAUUUUCAUGUAUUUUUAGUCCUUGUUCUGACACUGAAGACCCUCCUCAAAUGUGGCAGCGCUGCUUCACACAGUGCAUAUCCCAUUCUGUAACGUGGUCUCCUGCUUUGUUGAGCAGAAAAGGCUCGCAGAGGGGCUUGAAUCCUUUGAGCCUUCAUUGCCACAGUAGUGCUGUGCCCAUGCUUGCAAUACGGAAUCCAAUUUUAGGGGAACCCCGUAGCGCUUACAAAAGAUGGACUUGGACAGCAUGGGUUGAAGGGGCAAAACAAUGAGGGAGGUUGGGGGUGUUUAAAAUGAACUGCCUGUUGCACCGAGGGCAGCCUAGCACCCACCUGCAGCUGUGGGGUCCUGAAGGGGAAGUCUCCCAGGGUGACGAUACGGGCGUGCAGAAACUUUAACGACGCAAGUCGAAGGCGCUGCGGAAGCAGUCUCCGACAGCCCGCUUAGCGCCUGCCUUUGAGUCGCCUUUUGCUUAGGGUCCCUUUGGAAGGCGGGUAGCUAAACCAGCUGCACCUUCUGCUGGUGAGCCGCCGGGGCAGCCGGCAGUGUGUGACUGGGUAUGCUUCCUUACUUCCAGUAAUUUACAUCGCAGCAAGAUCCUGGCAGGCUGAUACUGAACGGAGGAGGGAAGGAAGGACAGCCCUAUGCAUAAGAAAACGUGUUGGAAGUCAAGAUUUAGCCUCUAUUCCCAACUCCCUCUUGGGAUUGUUUUAUGCUCUGCUUUUGACAGAUGAGUGACAGGAAAGUGCUCCAAAGGCUUCUUAUCCCAUGUAAUUCAGUUUCCAGCUGAAAGCAGAAAAGCUGAGGCUGCUCUCCUGGUUUGGCCUUGGGGUGAGAGAUCCCCCUCGGCCUGAUCCAUUGUAUAAGCUGUCCUGUAGCGCCUUAAAGCUGGAGCUUUUCAUCAGAAAUCUACAUAUUUGUGGUGAGUAAAGUGGUAUCUGCGUAUCGGAAGCAUUCAUUUACAAUGCCACUAUUGCUGUAGAUUAGAGUGCCGCCUGCAUAAAAUCUAAAUACCAUGCACUCGAGCUGCCAUCACAGGCAGACUGGCAAGCGUGCGUGGACCCCAGGUGACUUGUAGGGCAGACAUAACAGCUUGUCAACACGUGUGAAUUUGCAAAGCCAAGUCCCAAGCUGCUGAAUUUUUUAAGAUCCUUAAAGAGGAGAGAAUUAUUUAAACAUAAAUCCUUAUCAUGGUAAAAUAUCCUUAUGCAUAGAUGACUGUCAAAUUUAAUUCCAUUGGGUUAUUUCUUUACAUCUAAAUUUGAUCGUUUUACUUCUUUACAUUUCAAAAGUAAUGCCUAGAAAUGUUCUGGCCUGGCUUGACUCUUUCUGCUGGCUGUAUAGCCGCACACGGAGUAGAGGGGAAGACUGAUCCCCAACCUUGUGCCGCAAAGCCUAGUGCUUGUCCAUUGCACUGACCGUUUUUUAAGAGGCUCAUUAUAGUUUAACCUUCUGGGACAGGGUAGUUAAGCUGUUUUGCUGUUAAUGCUAAGCCAUUUAGCAUCAGCAUAUCUAAUUCCAACUGCCAAAAGGAACUGGAGAACCCUCCUAGGUCAGUGGGGUUGUCUCUGGAUUGCCAGCAAGUAGCAUUUCAUGAAUGAGAGGUUUUCUGACCAGAGAUAAGGAUGUACUGUUGCCUCUGUUGGUUACUUAAUGUGUCCUGGGAUGACCAGAGGUGAUGGGCUGUAGGCUUUGUAGAGAAAACACUAAACUUCAGCAAAACAUCUGUAUGUGUGUUUUGAGACCCAACGUGGUUUCACAGUUCUGUUCAAAGCAGAGAAGGGUUAACUCCUUAAUGCUUAUAGCCGAGAUUUCACCCAAGCUGGAUGAUGUGAGGCAUUUCAGUGUGAAUCCAGACCAUUCACCUCCUACGUUCUCAUCCUGCCGUGUGUCCGUGAGCAAUGGCCAUGAAAGGGUGACAGGCCCUUACGCUAGAGUGAAAAAUUACUCAGUUAUCAAAGCAGAGUGCUUACCUUUCAACAGCAGGAAAGCAGAAGUGUAAGUCUAUUACCUAAAGCAGUGAACAUCAGCAGUGAGUGAUUUCCUCCAAGAUGAAGCAGGCUGAUGGUCAGUCUGCAAUUCCAGCAUAGCUUGAACUUCAGUCCUGACCUGCCAAGGCAUAAGGAUGGGUUUCACUUGCUGCUGCCCAUCAGUAGUAUCAAAGAAGUCUCGCUGUGGCAUAGCAAAUUUUGUGUACCAUCCAUCUUUUCCCAGUCUUACUUUGUCAGGCUUGAAGUUCAGUGUGUGCUAAGCCCCCAGCAAAACAGAAGGUUGCACAGCUGGGGCUAUAGAAAUAGCUUACUUUUAAACACUAGGGAAGAGAAGUCUGUGGCGUUAUGUGUUCUGGAAGAUAAAUAAUUAUUUUACAAAGAAUGCAAACGGAUACUUUGGUGAGGUGAGCAAAGAAAAUGCUAAUAACAAGAGUACAACAAAAGGAAGUAAGAAGACGUGCUGAGAGAGAUAGGGAAGUGAGGCAGCAAGAAUCUAACCUCAAAGCACGUAGGAGAUUACAGGGCCCGACUUCCGAGCCACCCUCUGAGCGCCUCAGUGAGGACGAUUAGAGUAGCAUGUUCAGUGGGACCCUGCCAUUUCGUAGGGCUGAGGCCUGUCUCAAAAACCGUUCACACAUGGACUUGAUAAAUGAGAAUUUUUAGACAGAACAUGACCUAGAAAAAUGGUCUGGACUUUUGCAAAAUGGGAUCAGCUUCAUUAAAUGUGACCUUCAGAGACAAGCAGAGAUAGACUUGUAUCUUUUUUUUUUUUCCUUGCCUUUUUCUAAAUUAAGAAUUUAUAUGUUAAGCAUAUGUCAGGCCUAUGUUACUGACAAAACUGGGGUGAGAUUUUGAUUAAAAUUUGGGUUUGGAUGUACUGCUUAUCCCCAGUAGAAAUUCAGGCCACAAUUAAGGUCAUAGGGGAACCUGUAAAAUGACUUCAUCAUCAGGGUGAAGGUACCGAAUGCUGCACAGAUAAGGGUUUUAAAGGAAUCGCCUAACUGAUUUUGAUUUUUCUUAACUAAAAAACCUGCCGGUGCAUGAUGAGCACUGCGGCAUGUCAUCACAGACUCAACAGCUUCUCCUUUUCCAUCACUGCAGGGGCUCAAAAUGAUCAUCCUGAGGGGUUGGUCAGCAAAGGGAGCUAUUGCUUGUUACAGUGAUACAAUACGCACCAGAAAGAAUUCUUCCCUGCGCUUGAAUCUGCCAUGUAUACAAGGCCCAAGGUUUUGAAUACACUUGCAAAGUAAAAUCAAAAUCAGACUGGACACUCCCAAUUGCAGCAUCUACAAGCCAAGGGCAACCUCCAGCCAUCACGCGGGAGCUACCUGCCUGCCACCCACCCGCCUGCAUCCUGGUGGCUGCAGAGUGGAGGCAAAGAGCUGCCCUGCAGGCAGGAGCAACUGCCAGGACAGACAAACUGCCUGAGGAAGCCCUGGGGCUUCUCAGGGCUGUUAAAGCAGAUUGGGAGAGAGGUGUGGAAUUAGGCAAGCAGGAAGUGAAAGGACCCAUGGAUUUUCAAGGAGGAGAAGGAAAUAGCUCUGGCGGUUGGGAUGCAGUGGAGAGUCUUUCUGUGGUGGGAUAAAUACAGUAAUAAUGGGGGGAAAAAAUCUCCGGAGAAGUCCCUUGUUAAAUAUUUUGGUAGUACCUCAUGCUCCAAACCCAUGGAAAUGUAAAGGAUGGAUCCAAGAUGCCUUCAGGUCAAAAUGGGCUUAAUUAGGGGCACCACCUGAAAGUCAAGUGCAAGGCUAAAAUUGACACCUCAAGAACAUUUGGUGGUGGCAGAAAACUGAUAUAUGGAGGUGGAGGGUGGCCGUCGGGGAUCAGAGUCAUGAAGUUUGUGAUGAGUUUGCAGCCUCCCCAGCUUGUGCCUCAAUACCUCUCGAGAGCCACCGUCACUCAUGAGUUGCCUUCUCCCUUACCCUACCAAUACAUUGGGGCUGAUAACAAAGGGAAGGGA
Molecule: long non-coding RNA, 5726 nt
Organism: Egretta garzetta (little egret)
Lineage: Eukaryota; Metazoa; Chordata; Aves; Pelecaniformes; Ardeidae
Exons: 3
Source: RefSeq, a predicted model, not a curated record